AUGCUCCCAAACCAGCUACUGGGGAUGACCAGAGUGAGUGAGGUGUGUGUGGGGCUCCACACCAGGGGCUGGAGCAGGGCCUUGAGUUACAGCCUGUGUGUGUCUGGUGCCAGCUGCUGGUUGGGGGCAAGUGUCUGUAUCUUUUCAAACCUGGUGUGUGUGUAUUUCCUAACACAUUUUAAGCUGGACCAGGUGAACUGGAGAAUGCCAAGCCCGAUGUUUCCUGGAAGGAUUCCUUCAGUUACAGGCCUCAUGAAGCAACUAUUGUCCAUCCCUCAUGAUUCCUUCAGGAGCACUAUCCUGCCCAGAAAUAUUUUAGUUCUUGGGCACGCACCUGAGUGGAGAAAGCAGAUUUCUCUGUGUACAAAAUGUGAAGUGAAGCUGAAAAAUGAGAAUCAACCGAUGCAAGUUGCGGCACAAUAUGUGGUUUUAAUUAAUUAAUUUAUUUAUAAAGUCUGAGAAGAGUUAAAUACUGGAACAGGAGCUCAGAGAAGAUGAGGAGUCUUUAUUUUUGGAGAUACUCAAAACCUGCCUGUUCAAGGCCCUGAGCUGUUAGAACUGAUUUGAGCAUUGGUUAAAUUAGAGACCUCGGAGGUUUCUUCCAUUUUGCUUAGUUCUGCAAUUCAGAGACUGCUUGGAGACAUAGUUGUCCCCCGCCCCCAGCCAAUGUAUUUAGGUAAACAGUCAUUAUGUUAUUUUUGUUUAUGCAUCUUUAAAUAAUGUGAAGACUUAUGCUGCCAAAUUGCAACACAUCAGUGAGCAAUUCCUCAUCAGGAGUAGAAAGCAUGAUUAAGAAGUGCUUACAUUGACAAGAAAGAAGUAGUCAACAUCUUCAGACUGUCAUACUCUGUCAUUGAAGAUUGGGACUGAUAAUCCCCAUUAGCACCUCUGUGUAUGAGGAGGAAAUAUGUAUUCCUAAUGACAGUGGUAAAACUGUUUCCAUAAAAGCUAAACAGACAAAACUAUGAAGUACCAAAAAUCACUUUCUGAUAAAGCCAGUGAAGCCAUUAAAUCACUUUGGAGUCAAAACAGAAAUGCAAAAUCAGAAAGUGGAGCAGUUAAAAUAUUUUAUCAGUUCACAACAAAGGCUGAUGUUGAAACAUUUACCACAGAGUUACUUCCUCCUGUUAACAAAGGUGAGAUAUCUUCAGAAAACAAGAUGUCAAAGGGAGAAAUUAGAAAAAGCUGACAGAUGAAGUCUCAGUAAGUCAUCAAGAGGUCUUCAGGAAUUUAAGAGGGAACUAUAGCAUAUAGUAGUUCUCACCUUUACUACAUGAGAUGCUAUACUGGAGGGAACAUUUCCUUACUAUGCUAGGAGGAAGAAAGUGUUUUACUUCUGUUUGGUUAUGUGGCAGGUGCAGAUUUAUGUACCACUGAGAGUUUUCUUUCAUGGUCAGUAAAUUAAUCACUAUCAAAGGGUAAGAUGUCUGUGGUAUGACCAGGUCAUAGCCUGUGUUUCGAUAAACAAUUCUAUUAAAUAAAGGGAAAUUCUAGGUACA
Molecule: long non-coding RNA, 1499 nt
Filed under: Anser cygnoides (Swan goose)
Lineage: Eukaryota; Metazoa; Chordata; Aves; Anseriformes; Anatidae
Description: lncRNA (ENSACDG00005014769.1)
Source: RNAcentral